UGGGGAAUAUUGGACAAUGGGCGAAAGCCUGAUCCAGCCAUGCCGCGUGAGUGAAGAAGGCCUUUUGGUUGUAAAGCACUUUAAGCGAGGAGGAGGCCACUUGGAUUAAUACUCUAGGAUAGUGGACGUUACUCGCAGAAUAAGCACCGGCUAACUCAGUGCCAGCAGCCGCGGUAAUACAGAGGGUGCGAGCGUUAAUCGGAUUUACUGGGCGUAAAGCGUGCGUAGGCGGCUUUUUAAGUCGGAUGUGAAAUCCCUGAGCUUAACUUAGGAAUUGCAUUCGAUACUGUGAAGCUAGAGUAUGGGAGAGGAUGGUAGAAUUCCAGGUGUAGCGGUGAAAUGCGUAGAGAUCUGGAGGAAUACCGAUGGCGAAGGCAGCCAUCUGGCCUAAUACUGACGCUGAGUUACGAAAGCAUGGGGAGCAAACAGG
Molecule: ribosomal RNA, 430 nt
Filed under: Acidobacteriota bacterium
Lineage: Bacteria; Pseudomonadati; Acidobacteriota
Description: Acidobacteria bacterium partial 16S ribosomal RNA
Rfam family: Bacterial small subunit ribosomal RNA
Source: RNAcentral